Molecule: small RNA, 157 nt
Filed under: Gopherus agassizii (Agassiz's desert tortoise)
Lineage: Eukaryota; Metazoa; Chordata; Testudines; Testudinidae
Description: TUC338 (ENSGAGG00000001954.1)
Source: RNAcentral
AGGGAAGGGACCCAGAGACCCAUGUCCUCUGAUUAUCCAGCCAGGCAAGUUUCCCACACACUUGGUCUGCCCCAUCAGUGUGGCUCGUCCUGGGAGAACCCAUGAAUGGAAGCUGGAGGGAGUUCAGUCUCUAUGGCCCACCCAAUCCUUGGCCUCG